This is a long non-coding RNA of Oncorhynchus gorbuscha (pink salmon), 321 nucleotides long. RefSeq lists it as uncharacterized. The record is from RefSeq and is a predicted model, not a curated record. NCBI's taxonomy places the organism in Eukaryota, Metazoa, Chordata, Actinopteri, Salmoniformes, Salmonidae. The transcript has 3 exons.
GCCCACAGAGCCCACAGAGCCCACAGAGCCCACAGAGCCCACAGAGCCAAGACACACUGAAACAGGACAGAAACAUGAGGACUCUCUCCUUUAUUCUGGUACUCAGUCUAUCCCUUUCCUCAGUCGAUGCACUGAUAUGCUAUUCGUGCCGUUCAACCGCCUCCAAUGCAGAGUGUAAUCAGACAAACGAAACAUGCCUGGCUGCUCAGGAUACGUGUAUGACCACCGAGGAAAGUGCUGGAGAUAAGAAAAGCCUGAUGAAACAGUGUACCAGUUUGGCUGACUGUGAGAGAGUUCAGCACAAUGCUGGUUCGGAUCCCC